Molecule: ribosomal RNA, 403 nt
Filed under: uncultured bacterium
Lineage: Bacteria
Description: bacterial SSU rRNA
Rfam family: Bacterial small subunit ribosomal RNA
Source: RNAcentral
GACGAACGCUGGCGGCGUGCUUAACACAUGCAAGUCGAGCGGUAAGGCCCUUUCGGGGUACGACGAGCGGCGAACGGGUAGGAGUAACACGUGGGUGGACCUCGCCCUCCAGUUCUUGGGAGUAAGACCUCGGGAAACCGGGGUACCGUAAUAACUGGAUAUGACCUCAUGACGCAUGUUGUGGGGUGGAAAGCCUUGUGCGACUGAGGAUGGGCCCGCGGCCUAUCAGCUUGUUGGUGGGGUGAUGGCCUACCAAGGCGACGACGGGUAGCCGGCCUGAGAGGGCGACCGGCCACACUGGGACUGAGACACGGCCCAGACUCCUACGGGAGGGCAGCAGUGGGGAAUCUUGCGCAAUGGGCGAAAGCCUGACGCAGCGACGCCGCGUGAGGGAUGACGGCCU